UCAAGUUAUUAAGGGUGCAGGGCGGAUGCCUUGGCACUAGGAGCCGAUGAAGGACGUGAUAAGCUGCGAUAAGCUUCGGGGAGUUGCACGUAAACUUUGAUCCGAAGAUUUCCGAAUGAGGAAACUCACUUAGAGUAAUGUCUAAGUAUCAUUAAGUGAAUACAUAGCUUAAUGAGGGGAACUCAGGGAACUGAAACAUCUAAGUACCUGAAGGAAGAGAAAGAAAUUCGAUUCCGUAAGUAGCGGCGAGCGAACGCGGAUUAGCCCAAACCAAUAAAGUUUUCUUUANUUGGGGUUGCGGACAUAUCAUAACGAAGAGGUAUCGUAAUUGAAGAGGUUUGGAAAGACCCACCACAGAAGGUAAUAGUCCUGUAUGUUAAACGAGAAGACUUCAGAUAUGAUCCAGAGUACCACGGGACACGUGAAACCCUGUGGGAAGCAGGAGGGACCACCCUCCAAGGCUAAAUACUACCUAGUGACCGAUAGCGUAUAGUACCGUGAGGGAAAGGUGAAAAGAACCCCGGGAGGGGAGUGAAAUAGAACCUGAAACCCUGCACUUACAAGCUGUGGAAGCACAUUUCUUGUGUGACCGCGUACUUUUUGUAGAACGGGCCAACGAGUUACGUUAAGUAGCAAGGUUAAGCACUUAAGGUGCGGAGCCGUAGCGAAAGCGAGUUUUAACUGAGCGUUCAGUUACUUGACGUAGACCCGAAACCGGGCGACCUACCCAUGAGCAGGAUGAAGCGAAAGUAAAAUUUCGUGGAGGUCCGAACCCACGAGCGUUGAAAAGCUCGGGGAUGACUUGUGGGUAGCGGUGAAAUUCCAAUCGAGCCCGGAGAUAGCUGGUUCUCCCCGAAAUAGCUUUAGGGCUAGCCUCAAGGUGAGAGAUACGGAGGUAGAGCACUGAAUGUCCUAGGGGGUAUUGCACCUACCGAAGACUAUCAAACUCCGAAUGCCGUCAUCUUAUACUUGGGAGUCAGACUGUGGGUGAUAAGAUUCAUAGUCGAAAGGGCAACAGCCCAGAUCGUCAGCUAAGGUCCCUAAAUGUAAGUUAAGUGGUAAAGGAUGUGGGAUUGCACAGACAACCAGGAUGUUGGCUUAGAAGCAGCCACUCAUUCAAAGAGUGCGUAAUAGCUCACUGGUCGAGUGAUCCUGCGCCGAAGAUUUCCGGGGCUAAAACUUACUACCGAAGCUACGGCAUCAGUAAUGAUGGGUAGGGGAGCUUCCCAUACGGGUUGAAGCAUGACCGUAAGGACAUGUGGACAGUAUGGGAGUGAGAAUGUUGGCAUGAGUAGCGAGAUGUGGGUGAGAAUCCCACAGGCCGUAAACCCAAGGUUUCCAGGGGAAGGUUCGUCCGCCCUGGGUUAGUCGGGACCUAAGCUGAGGCCGAAAGGCGUAGGUGAUGGACAACAGGUUGAUAUUCCUGUACUACCGAUAACCGUUUGAGAGAAGGGAUGACACAGUAGGAUAAGCUAAGCACACUGUUGGUUAUGUGUGCCCAAGCAUUGAGGCAGUCAAAGCAGGCAAAUCCGCUUUGAUAAUGCUGGGAUGUGAUGGGGAGCGAAAUUUAGUAGCGAAGUAGCUGAUUUCACACUGUCAAGAAAAGUCUCUAUCGAGGUUAAAGGUACCCGUACCGCAAACCGACACAGGUGGGUGAGGAGAGUAUCCUAAGGCCAGCGAGAGAACUGUUGUUAAGGAACUCGGCAAAAUGACCCCGUAACUUAGGGAUAAGGGGUGCCACCAUCCGGUGGCCGCAGAGAAUAGGCCCAAGCGACUGUUUACCAAAAACAUAGGUUUCUGCUAAGUCGCAAGACGAUGUAUAGGAGCUGACGCCUGCCCGGUGCUGGAAGGUUAAGGGGAUCUGUUAGAGCAAUCGAAGCAGUGAACUUAAGCCCCAGUAAACGGCGGCCGUAACUAUAACGGUCCUAAGGUAGCGAAAUUCCUUGUCGGGUAAGUUCCGACCCGCACGAAAGGCGUAACGAUUUGGGCACUGUCUCAACAACAGACUCGGUGAAAUUGUAAUUCCGGUGAAGAUGCCGGAUACCUGCGACAGGACGGAAAGACCCCAUGGAGCUUUACUGUAGCUUGACAUUGGGUCUUGGUACUACAUGUACAGGAUAGGUGGGAGGCUUUGAAACCAGGACGCCAGUUUUGGCGGAGCCAUCCUUGGGAUACCACCCUUGUAGUACUGGGACUCUAACCAUAGGCCAUGAAUCUGGUCUUGGGACACUGUCAGGUGGGCAGUUUGACUGGGGCGGUCGCCUCCCAAAAGGUAACGGAGGCGCUCAAAGGUUCUCUCAGUACGGUCGGAAAUCGUACGUAGAGUGUAAAGGCAAAAGAGAGCUUGAUUGCAAGACAUACAGGUCGAGCAAGGAUGAAAAUCGGACUUAGUGAUCCGGUGGUUCUGCGUGGAAGGGCCAUCGCUCAACGGAUAAAAGCUACCCUGGGGAUAACAGGCUUAUCUCCCCCAAGAGUCCACAUCGACGGGGAGGUUUGGCACCUCGAUGUCGGCUCAUCACAUCCUGGGGCUGUAGUAGGUCCCAAGGGUUGGGCUGUUCGCCCAUUAAAGUGGUACGCGAGCUGGGUUCAGAACGUCGUGAGACAGUUCGGUCCCUAUCCGUCGCAGGCGUAGGAAAUUUGAGAAGACCUGUCCUUAGUACGAGAGGACCGGGAUGGACGUACCUCUGGUGUACCAGUUGUUCUGCCAAGGGCAUGGCUGGGUAGCUAUGUACGGAAUGGAUAAGCGCUGAAAGCAUCUAAGCGCGAAGCCAACUUCAAGAUAAGAUUUCCCACCGCAAGGGUAAGACCCCAGAAAGACUAUCUGGUUGAUAGGUCGAAGGUGUAAGUGCAGCAAUGUAUUUAGCUUAUCGAUACUAAUAGGUCGAGGACUUGACCAA
This 2897-nucleotide ribosomal RNA is filed under the name Clostridioides difficile. RNAcentral's name for it is "bacterial LSU rRNA". It matches the Rfam family "Bacterial large subunit ribosomal RNA". The record is from RNAcentral. Lineage: Bacteria; Bacillati; Bacillota; Clostridia; Peptostreptococcales; Peptostreptococcaceae.